RNAcentral lists this ribosomal RNA (252 nucleotides) under uncultured bacterium. Its description in RNAcentral is "partial 16S ribosomal RNA". It matches the Rfam family "Bacterial small subunit ribosomal RNA", at positions 524 to 776 of the family's 1533-position model. The record is from RNAcentral.
UACGUAGGGUGCAAGCGUUAAUCGGAAUUACUGGGCGUAAAGCGUGCGCAGGCGGUUUGUAAGUCUGUCGUGAAAGCCCCGGGCUCAACCUGGGAAUUGCGAUGAAGACUGCAAGGCUUGAAUCUGGCAGAGGGGGGUAGAAUUCCACGUGUAGCAGUGAAAUGCGUAGAGAUGUGGAGGAACACCGAUGGCGAAGGCAGCCCCCUGGGUCAAGAUUGACGCUCAUGCACGAAAGCGUGGGGAGCAAACAGG